CGGGACGGGGGAGUAAUGCUUGGGAAUCUAGCUUAUGAGGGGGAGUAACUACGGGAAACUGUAGCUAAUACCGCGUAAUAUCGAAAGAUUAAAGUGUGGGACCUUCGGGCCACAUGCCAUAGGAUGAGCCCAAGUGGGAUUAGGUAGUUGGUGAGGUAAAGGCUCACCAAGCCGACGAUCUCUAGCUGGUCUGAGAGGAUGACCAGCCACACUGGGACUGAGACACGGCCCAG
This 233-nucleotide ribosomal RNA is filed under the name uncultured bacterium. RNAcentral describes it as "partial 16S ribosomal RNA". It matches the Rfam family "Bacterial small subunit ribosomal RNA", at positions 100 to 334 of the family's 1533-position model. The record is from RNAcentral.